GCCUAUGUACGCAACUUGGUAACGCGAAUAAUUAAACAUUAUAGUUAUACUGGUUCGAUUCCAGUCGUGGGCU
RNAcentral lists this transfer RNA (73 nucleotides) under Bacillus cereus. RNAcentral describes it as "tRNA-Phe". It matches the Rfam family "tRNA". From Rfam's summary of the family: Transfer RNA (tRNA) molecules are approximately 80 nucleotides in length. Their secondary structure includes four short double-helical elements and three loops (D, anti-codon, and T loops). Lineage: Bacteria; Bacillati; Bacillota; Bacilli; Caryophanales; Bacillaceae. The record is from RNAcentral. RNAcentral also lists the same sequence under 2 other names.